Molecule: long non-coding RNA, 878 nt
Filed under: Anser brachyrhynchus (Pink-footed goose)
Lineage: Eukaryota; Metazoa; Chordata; Aves; Anseriformes; Anatidae
Description: lncRNA (ENSABRG00000022872.1)
Source: RNAcentral
GGAGCCGGGCCAGCCAGGCUCCGUCGGGUGCCAAGGAGUCAACGGCUCCCAGGUGAGUCUGCCCUGGGCACCCUGCUCUGAUAUUUGGGGUUUUCCAGCUGCUGCACUCACCCCGUCCCUUCCUUGCUCUCUCCCCAGGGAGAGAUGGGUCCUCCUGGCUUGCCCGGCCCCCAGGGCCCUAAGGGACCACAGGGCCUGCAGGGGCGUCGCGGCCCCCCUGGACUGGGGGGCACCCAGGGUCCAGCUGGGAUGGAGGGGUCCUCUGGUCCCAAAGGAGACACCGGGUUUAUUGGCCUGCCGGGUUCAAAAGGCACCCAAGGAGAGAGGGGCUGCCGAGGUCCUGCUGGAGCCAAGGGAGACCUGGGAGCCAAAGGAGACAAGGUACGAGGUUCCCAGGCUGAGGCUUGGAGCCACUUUGUGUCCCUUUGCCUUCUAGAGCUGUGAAAAUCAGCCAGACCGAGCUCUGCAUGCUCACACCGUGCAGCUGCUCCUCAGCCGCCCUUUGUCACCUUUCCUUGGUUUGAUGUCUAAAAUCCUGCCUUGGUUUGGUGUUUAAAAAAAGUCACUGUUCUGGGUCCUCGGGAUGCUCUCGGUGGGGGCUGUGGGGCGGUCACCAAGGGGGGCUGCAGGCUGGCCGUGACGUGCUGCCACCUUGUCUCCCAAGGGUCCUCAUGGAGCACAGGGAGCAACGGGGCCUCCAGGACCGCGGGGUCAAACAGGCUUGCAGGGCUUCCCCGGCCCCCGCGGGGCGGCAGGACCCCGGGGACCCGAGGUAAGGCAGGGUGCUGGGGGGGGUACAGGCAGGUGGCCUGGGAGGGGACAGCCCUGAGGGCUGCAAGGAGUGCGGCCAGCACUACCAGCUGCUGCCACCGCUGCCU